RNAcentral lists this unclassified non-coding RNA (557 nucleotides) under Cenococcum geophilum. RNAcentral describes it as "partial contains ITS1, 5.8S rRNA and ITS2". The stretch from base 208 to 361 matches the Rfam family "5.8S ribosomal RNA". Lineage: Eukaryota; Fungi; Ascomycota; Dothideomycetes; Gloniales; Gloniaceae. The record is from RNAcentral.
CUUGGUCAUUUGAGGAAGUAAAAGUCGUAACAAGGUUUCCGUAGGUGAACCUGCGGAAGGAUCAUUACAGAAAGUAAACGCGGAUCAAACCGCGAACUUCUAAACCUUUGACGAUUGACUCAUGUUGCCUCGGCGGGUUCUUCCGCCAGAGGAUACAUCAAAACUCCUGUUUUAACGGUGUUGUCUGAGCUGCAAGCAACGAAUCAAAACUUUCAACAACGGAUCUCUUGGUUCUGGCAUCGAUGAAGAACGCAGCGAAAUGCGAUAAGUAGUGUGAAUUGCAGAAUUCAGUGAAUCAUCGAAUCUUUGAACGCACAUUGCGCCCCUUGGUAUCCCGAGGGGCAUGCCUGUUCGAGCGUCAUUUAACCACUCAAGCCCGGCUUGGUGUUGGGCGACGUCUCCUUUAGGGACGCGUCUCGAAACGCUCGGCGGCGUGGCACCGGCUUUAAGCGUAGCAGAAUCUUUCGCUUUGAAAGUCGGGGCCUCGUCUGCCGGAAGACCUACUCGCAAGGUUGACCUCGGAUCAGGCAGGGAUACCCGCUGAACUUAAGCAUAUC